Molecule: non-coding RNA, 454 nt
Organism: Gallus gallus (chicken)
Lineage: Eukaryota; Metazoa; Chordata; Aves; Galliformes; Phasianidae
Source: Rfam
CGACCUCAGGUCAGACGUGGCGACCCGCUGAAUUUAAGCAUAUUAGUCAGCGGAGGAAAAGAAACUAACGAGGAUUCCCUCAGUAACGGCGAGUGAAGAGGGAAGAGCCCAGCGCCGAAUCCCCGCCCCGCGGUGGGGCGCGGGAGGUGUGGCGUACGGAAGCCCCCAUCCCCGGCGCCGCUCUCGGGGGGCCCAAGUCCUUCUGAUCGAGGCCCAGCCCGCGGACGGUGUGAGGCCGGUAGCGGCCCCCCGGCGCGCCGGGCCCGGGGCUUCUCGGAGUCGGGUUGCUUGGGAAUGCAGCCCAAAGCGGGUGGUAAACUCCAUCUAAGCUAAAUACCGGCACGAGACCGAUAGCCAACAAGUACGAAGGGAAAGUGAAAAGAAUUGAAGAGAGAGUUCAAGAGGCGUGAAACCGUUAAGAGGAACGGUCCGCGCAGUCGCCGAGAUGCAAUCG